Molecule: small nuclear RNA, 106 nt
Filed under: Erinaceus europaeus (western European hedgehog)
Lineage: Eukaryota; Metazoa; Chordata; Mammalia; Eulipotyphla; Erinaceidae
Description: 7SK RNA
Rfam family: 7SK RNA
About the family: 7SK was discovered as an abundant small nuclear RNA in the mid-70s but a possible function has only recently been suggested.
Source: Rfam by way of RNAcentral
AUGUGAGGGCCAUCUGGCUGUGACAUCUGUCACCCCAUUGAUCACCAGGGUUGAUUCAGCUGAUCUGGCUGGCUGGCUGGGUGGGUGUCCCCUUCCUCUCAACAUU